This is a non-coding RNA of Camelina sativa (false flax), 238 nucleotides long. Lineage: Eukaryota; Viridiplantae; Streptophyta; Magnoliopsida; Brassicales; Brassicaceae. The record is from RefSeq and is a predicted model, not a curated record.
GAUGGAUGCUGCAUUAAAGUAUUUUAAAGAUGUUGAUUCUAAUGACUUAAAACUGAAUGAAUUUGAAGAAGCAUGUGGUGUCGGGGUUGUAGUUUCAGCUGAAGAUAUUGAGAAAACUGUUAGUGACGUCUUUGAAGAGAAGAAGAAAACAAUACUAGAGAACCGUUACCGAGAAGAGCGUAAGCUAUUGGGAGAUGUCCGGAAAAAGUUGCCAUGGGCAGAUUUUGAGAUUGUAUCG